AGGAGUGACAACUGCAGGCUGCUGGAGAAACAGCAAGGUUCUCAGAAUUUUUCUUCUACCUUGAUCAAAUGUCACAGAAGGUACUUCCUGGUAUACACACAGGAGUUGCCUGCAGAAAACGUCCUGCAGAAUGUUCCAGGAAUUUGAUCUCCAUGUACUGUUCUGAGAGGCUAGCCUGCGGAGAAUGAAAGUAAGGAGCAAGCAAGUGAUCAUUACUCACCACCUCAAUCCACCCAAGGGCUUUCACCUGGAACCCAAAGUGC
Long non-coding RNA from Homo sapiens (human), 263 nucleotides. RefSeq lists it as uncharacterized. Lineage: Eukaryota; Metazoa; Chordata; Mammalia; Primates; Hominidae. The record is from RefSeq and is a predicted model, not a curated record. The transcript is spliced from 3 exons.